RNAcentral lists this ribosomal RNA (491 nucleotides) under uncultured bacterium. RNAcentral's name for it is "partial 16S ribosomal RNA". It matches the Rfam family "Bacterial small subunit ribosomal RNA", at positions 29 to 506 of the family's 1533-position model. The record is from RNAcentral.
AGUGAACGCUGGCGGUAGGCCUAACACAUGCAAGUCGAACGGCAGCACAGUAAGAGCUUGCUCUUACGGGUGGCGAGUGGCGGACGGGUGAGGAAUACAUCGGAAUCUACUUUUUCGUGGGGGAUAACGUAGGGAAACUUACGCUAAUACCGCAUACGACCUACGGGUGAAAGCAGGGGAUCUUCGGACCUUGCGCGAUUGAAUGAGCCGAUGUCGGAUUAGCUAGUUGGCGGGGUAAAGGCCCACCAAGGCGACGAUCCGUAGCUGGUCUGAGAGGAUGAUCAGCCACACUGGAACUGAGACACGGUCCAGACUCCUACGGGAGGCAGCAGUGGGGAAUAUUGGACAAUGGGCGCAAGCCUGAUCCAGCCAUACCGCGUGGGUGAAGAAGGCCUUCGGGUUGUAAAGCCCUUUUGUUGGGAAAGAAAAGCAGCAGGUUAAUACCCCGCUGUUCUGACGGUACCCAAAGAAUAAGCACCGGCUAACUCCAU